RNAcentral lists this long non-coding RNA (2819 nucleotides) under Homo sapiens (human). RNAcentral describes it as "HSALNT0378227". The record is from RNAcentral. Lineage: Eukaryota; Metazoa; Chordata; Mammalia; Primates; Hominidae.
CAAGUGAGGAAUCUUCCUUGUUUUUCUAUAUUGGCGCUGGCCAUAAAGGAAUUCUCUGACCUACCUUGUCUGACUGUGGGACGUAAGACCCUCAUUUCAGAAGUGAUCUUGCCCCAUACCCUAAAAGAAGGAGUCCUACACAGAGGGGCCAAAAGGAAUCUGAACAGACAGGCCUUACAGGGUUUCCCCUCUCAGUCUAUGAGUAUUAGACCAUACUCUUUUUGUCCAAUCACAUUUCUACACAGUUGUCAGUCAUGCCUAUUCAAUGAUGUUCCCAUGAAAGGCUCAAGCAAGAGACCAAGGUUCAAAGAGUUUCUGGAUAGCUGAACACAUGGAGGUUCCUAAAGGGUGGCAUAUCCAGGGAGGUCACGGAAGCUCCAUGCCCCUUCUCCCCUACCUUGCCUUUGCCUCUCUUCAUCUGUAUCAUUUCUAACAUCUUUUAUAACAAACCAGUAAACAUAAAUGUUUCCCUGGGUUAUUUGACCCACUCCAGCAAAUUAAUUGAACCCAAAGAGGGAGUUAUGAAAACCCCAACUUGAAGCUGAUUGGUCAGAAAUUCUGGAGGCCUGGAGUUGCAACUGACAUGUGAAGUAGGGGCAGUCUUGUGGGAAUGAAUCCUCAACAUGUGGGAUCUGAUGCUAUCUCCAGAAAAAUAACAGAUGCAGUCAAUAAGUGCUGCUCCCACCGAGACACCAAAAUAUCCCGUAAACCAACACACUCUGAGCAGAUCUUCGCAGUGAAACGCUGAGUCCACAGAGCGGCCACACAGACACGAGGCUGAAGAGGAAGGAAGCUGGGAACCCUGCGCGGGGUGAGUGCCAGGACUAGUUCCAGGCCCAGAACGUUUCCUAGGGAAGGGUUGAGUAAAGUGACAGUGGGGCAGCCCACUCUCCUCACGUAUUUCUGGGAUCCCAGCUAUAAGAGAUCCUAUGACCCCCACAGACAGUUGAAUUGGCAGGGGGAUCUGCCCAGGGAGUAGGCAGAGACAGAGCUCCAGGUUGCAGGGAGCCCAGGGGGUUUUGUGUGCAUGGCAGCUGCAGAGGAAGGUGGCUAUAGGCGCCUAUCCCCCAAGGCUCCCCAUCUGACCUCAACUUACCAGUGAGCCAAGAGAGAGCAGGGCGGUCCUUCCUGCGGGACUGGGGCGCAUAUGUUCUGCGGGACCCCCUGCACGCAGCCCCUCCCAAAGCCCCUGUCUGGUUGUUCCUGCAGGAGUGUGUGCACUGUGCCGCCUCCGCUGCCCAGCCUGAGUUCUUGCUAGCGACCCCGCCUGAAUGCUUUCCAGGCAGCUUGGGAGCACUUCGGAUCCCCCAACACAGCAGGGGUCUGACCCCGAGGGGCCGAAAGACAGAGCCCAAUGCCCCAAGGUUGCAGCACAGAGCUCAGGAGUGCCCAGCUGAGACCUGUGGCUGGUGCGCAAGCGCGGGGGAGGAGCCUCCACUCAGAACACUGGGAGGAGUGAGAAGCAGUUCGUGGGCCAGCGCGGGAUGAGACUUGUCUCUCUCAGGGCCUUUCAGGGAAGGGUUGCGGCCUGUCUGCAAGCCUUAGCCUCUGCCGGAGAGAGCCCCCACAGCUCCGAACACCUAACAAAGGAAACGUAAGUGCAGCUCCAGUGAUUGGAGGGGGCUCCUCUAAGGGCCAGGAGAGGACUUGGCAAAAGGAUCAUCUCUCUCCCCUGAACUAUGGAGCAUGACUGCGAAUACAAAAUACCAAAGAGCCAGCGCUGAGUCAGAGCCUGCCGGCAAUUACUCUUAAGCGCCAUCUACUGGUUUGCCGCCGAAAUUACAAUUUCAAAAUAUUCUGCCAGUAUAGAGCACCUGUAAAACCCAGAGCAAGAAUCUAGCCACAAAGAUCCCAUACAGAGCCUUGGCCCUCUGAAAGUAUCCAGAAAUGAAGCCAAUUGACUAUACUCAACAUAUACCACAGUUAAGCCCUCAAGGUAAAUGAAUAAUAUAAAAACAAGACGACAAAGGAACACCAGCCCUCUCAAAAGAGUCAGCACAAGAACUCUGGCAAUUCAAAACGUCAAAUAAGCAUACUAGCCCCUCAGCAAGGACUGAAAUGUCCGGAAUGACAGACAUAGAAUUCAGAAUCUGGAUACCAAAGAAGCUCAUCAAGAUUCAAGAGGAAGUAGAAACCCAAUCCAAGGAAUCCAGUAAAAAUGACCCAAAAAUUGAAAGACAAAAUAGCCAUUUUUAAAAAGAACCAAACUGAACUGGAAUUUAAAAAUUCACUACAAAAUUUUCAUAAUAGUGUUGGAAGCAUUAACAGAGGAAUAGAUCAAGCUGUGGAAUCUCAGAGCUCAAAAACUGAUUCUUCAAAUCAACUCAAUCAGAUAAAGAAAAAAAUUUUAAAUAUACAAAUCUUCAGAGAGGAUACUCAAUCUGUAUCCACUGAACAAUUUCUCAUUUCCUGCUUCCUCCAGUCCGGAGUAACCACCAUUCUACUUUUUGUUUCUAAGAAUUUGAUCACUGUAGAUAACCUCAUUUAAGUGGAAUUGUGUAGUAUUUAUCUUUUUGUGAUUGGCUUAUUUCAUGUAUGUGAAAUGUAAAAAAAAAAUGAAGCUAACAAAUAUUUUAUUAAAACUAAACAUUAAUGUGUUUCAUGCCACUGAACUGUACACUUAACCAUGGCUAAAAUGGUAAUCAUAUUUUAUCACAGUAAAAAAAAAUGGAAAAACACUCUCAACGCUAACUGUAACACUAACUGUAACAAUUAGACCAGUUAGAACAAAAAAUUAUUUCUUAUGGGAAGGUGUUCUAUCAUUGACAUAGUUUAGGAUUGCUGGCACAUGGUAAUAAUAAAAAGCACACUACAUGUAA